This 900-nucleotide long non-coding RNA is filed under the name Danio rerio (zebrafish). RNAcentral describes it as "si:dkey-81p22.11 (ENSDARG00000093797.5)". The record is from RNAcentral. Lineage: Eukaryota; Metazoa; Chordata; Actinopteri; Cypriniformes; Danionidae.
AAUCAACAAAAAAUAUUCAGAUUAUCAGAUCAAAGAUUCGAGUCACUUUAGACUCGUUACUUUUAGACCAAUCAUGUGACUCCAAAUGGCGUUCGUCGUGCGAGGAAAAGUCAGCGUGGUCAUGCUAUCAUAUAAUAUGGCUUUGAUUUGAUUCUGACCCCAAAAGGAACACCUUCAUGUGCAAGUGACGCUGCCUACAUAAAACACACUGACUGUUGGGCCGUUGAAUGGGGGAGGACAGUUUCCACGUGCUCUUCGCUUCAUGGUGGUUGUCAAGGUCCCUGUAGUGCUUGUCUGCAACUUUUCAAAGGGCAAUCCAAACCUUGAGUGUCCGCAGUGCUCUGCCAUAGAGGUCAGCGCUUGUUUCCCUGGAAUCACACAUAAAGGCUUUCUUUAUUUACACCAGUAAAGAGCUCUAACAGCCAAACGUUUGACCUCAGUUGAACAGCUCCGGGUAAACAAGUCAUCGCAAAUGUCCCCUCCCUCAGUUCCAAACAGCUUGCAUCCCAUCAGCGCGCAUGUUUUGCCAGGACAGAUGACAGGAAAACAGUCUCAGCUCAUGUUCAUAAUAAGGUAGGUGUAAGAGGACUUUGCCGUUGACUUUUCCUUGUGGUCCUUCUUAUACUUCAUGCGACGGUUUUGGAACCAGAUUUUAAUCUGCCGGUCGGUGAGCUUCAGCAGCUCAGCCAUUUCAAGUCUCCGGUUGCGGCACAGCCUCACUUGUGGAUUUCCAGAGGCCCAUGACUGAAGGUCGCAGCUCUAGUUUUUGAUCAGCGGAGGACCAGCGGAAAUUAUUAACAUGCUACUUCAUAAUAACAUAUCACAUAACAUUACAUAAAAAUCUGUUUUUCUGUAUUGUUUAAAUGUCGUAACAUAUGACAAUAAAUGGAAUUUUAAAAA